This 253-nucleotide ribosomal RNA is filed under the name uncultured bacterium. RNAcentral's name for it is "partial 16S ribosomal RNA". It matches the Rfam family "Bacterial small subunit ribosomal RNA", at positions 524 to 776 of the family's 1533-position model. The record is from RNAcentral.
UACGUAUGGAGCAAGCGUUAUCCGGAUUUACUGGGUGUAAAGGGUGCGUAGGCGGUACGGCAAGUCAGAAGUGAAAGCCUGGGGCUCAACCCCGGAAUUGCUUUUGAAACUGUCGGACUAGAGUGUCGGAGGGGUAAGUGGAAUUCCUAGUGUAGCGGUGAAAUGCGUAGAUAUUAGGAGGAACACCGGUGGCGAAGGCGGCUUACUGGACGACAACUGACGCUGAGGCUCGAAAGCGUGGGGAGCAAACAGG